CGGCACGGGUGAGUAACAACGUGAAUGAUCUACCUCCCGAGUGGGGAAGUAAACCUAGAGAAAUCUGGGCUAAUACCGCAUAACACUUACGAGUCAAAGCAGCAAUGCGCUUGGAGAGGAGUUCGCGGCCGAUUAGUUAGUUGGCGGGGUAAUGGCCCACCAAGACGAUGAUCGGUAUCCGGCCUGAGAGGGCGCACGGACACACUGGAACUGAAACACGGUCCAG
This 226-nucleotide ribosomal RNA is filed under the name uncultured bacterium. RNAcentral describes it as "partial 16S ribosomal RNA". It matches the Rfam family "Bacterial small subunit ribosomal RNA", at positions 100 to 334 of the family's 1533-position model. The record is from RNAcentral.